Schistosoma mattheei is the source of this 45-nucleotide non-coding RNA. The record is from Rfam. NCBI's taxonomy places the organism in Eukaryota, Metazoa, Platyhelminthes, Trematoda, Strigeidida, Schistosomatidae.
AUUCAGCUAAUGAGUCCCGAAUAGGACAAAACGCGCGUCCUGGAU